Molecule: transfer RNA, 72 nt
Filed under: Phrynosoma platyrhinos (Desert horned lizard)
Lineage: Eukaryota; Metazoa; Chordata; Lepidosauria; Squamata; Phrynosomatidae
Description: tRNA-OTHER
Source: RNAcentral
GCCAGCAUGGUGUUGUGGUUUGAGUGUUGGACUAUGACUCUGGAGACCAGGGUUCAAAUCCCCAUUCAGCCG